RNAcentral lists this long non-coding RNA (1304 nucleotides) under Coturnix japonica (Japanese quail). RNAcentral's name for it is "lncRNA (ENSCJPG00005014770.1)". The record is from RNAcentral. Lineage: Eukaryota; Metazoa; Chordata; Aves; Galliformes; Phasianidae.
GACACCCGGGGCAGACCGACAAGUACCGAAAACGACACGAGGCGCUUUCUGGCUUUACUUUGACAUUUUAUUGUUCAGUUUUCUUUGCUUGUCGUCUUCGCCUGGUUCCUCGUCGCGCCUCUCUGCAGUCCUGACGGAGCACGUGGCACAGCCCUUCCCUCUUGGCGUCCGAUGCAUCUUCUGCUUCCCCGGUGCCGGUCCUUCCCUUCUCCUCAGAGUUAGGGAAAGAAGAGGGGAGGGGUCUCGGGGCAGGAAGGGAAGGGGGGCAGGGAGCAGCAGCGGGGGCUCUCGGGCGGAUGGUGGCUCCUCAACGCCCAGAUGAAAAGCGAGAGCCCCUGGAGCGCCGUUCCUGGAUGCGGCGACGUCGACGGGCGAUCAUGAUGUUAUAAUGGAUGCCCAGCCGUGAUGGAGAUGGAUCCACCUCCAUGGGUUCUUCCUCAGGAGGCAGGUCCACCUCCGUCAGCUCCACGUCGGCGUUGCUCUCCUUGGAGUCAAUCUCCAUGGGCUCCGGCUUGCUGCUGCUCUCCUGCAGGCGACGCCUCUUCGCUGGAGGAGGAUCCAUUGUCCUCCUCCACAGCUCUCGCCAACACGGGAAGGGAAUUCAAACGUUGCUCCUGUCAGAGGGCACUCUGGCUCUGAAGGCGCAGGUCGAAGACAGUUCUGGGCUCUGGGUCCCCGUAUUUAUAGGGGUCCAGGAGGGCGGUGGCUCAUGAGAUCACAAAGCUGUGGCACAGUGACCCCACAAAUGUCCCAUGACAACCAAACAUAUCCGUUGGGUGGGGGGCGGCCGUGGCCCCAGCGUUGCCCUGGUGCCGCUCGUUGGAUUCCACAGGCCUCUGUGACUUUUCAUCCAUGGCUCCAAUAACGAUUUGAACGUUCUAUUAAAUAACAGUGUGCUCAUGUGAUGCUAAACUGGGAGGAGGGUUCUGGUUGGUGGCACAUUGAAUCUGAGCAGGCCCUCAGUCCCACCACUCUUCAGUCCCACCACACCUGGGUCCCCCAGCUCCAUGCUGUGGAUGUGUGUACACCCACAGUGUGUGUCAGGCCUACAGCUGGACUGCACUGCCCCCCACUUCUCAGGUUGCAGAGGUCUCUCCUCAAACCCAACAGUGAAUGUCUCCUUGGUGUGUUGGCAGUUCUAAGGCUUAUUUCAAACACAUCUUUAAGGUCUGUUUUAAUACCCUCAUACAUUGAUUAGCCAUAAGAUCAUAGAAUCAUAGAAUCACAAGGUUGGGAAGGACCUACAAGAUCAUCUAGUCCAACUGUCUUCCCUUUACCAUACCAACAGAAAUCCACUAAACCAU